RNAcentral lists this transfer RNA (74 nucleotides) under Caldilineae bacterium. Its description in RNAcentral is "tRNA-Arg". It matches the Rfam family "tRNA". Rfam says of the family: Transfer RNA (tRNA) molecules are approximately 80 nucleotides in length. Their secondary structure includes four short double-helical elements and three loops (D, anti-codon, and T loops). Lineage: Bacteria; Bacillati; Chloroflexota; Caldilineae. The record is from RNAcentral.
GCCCCCGUAGCUCAGUGGAUUAGAGCAUCUGACUUCGGAUCAGAGGGUCGUGGGUUCGAAUCCUACCGGGGGUA